This 264-nucleotide unclassified non-coding RNA is filed under the name Hevea brasiliensis (rubber tree). Lineage: Eukaryota; Viridiplantae; Streptophyta; Magnoliopsida; Malpighiales; Euphorbiaceae. The record is from RNAcentral.
UUCAAGGAAUUGCAAAAGAAAUGCAAGACACCUCUGGAUGCCACUACCUCUCUUAAAAAUCGUGGGUUGGAAGUGGAAUUGGAGGAUGCCAUCCAUAAGGACUAACUUUUCUUUCCCUGCUGUCAUCUUCCCCGAUCUUCGUCAUCAGAAUUUUACAUGGUGACCAUCUCAACUUCGCCUGUUUUCAUGUAGGCCGAGGAAACGUUUAAUUCUUGCUGGCUCAUAUAAUCUACCUUUCAAUUUUUGGAUACAUGUAUUCUUCCA